This 494-nucleotide ribosomal RNA is filed under the name uncultured bacterium. RNAcentral describes it as "bacterial SSU rRNA". It matches the Rfam family "Bacterial small subunit ribosomal RNA", at positions 25 to 518 of the family's 1533-position model. The record is from RNAcentral.
CAGGACGAACGCUGGCGGCGUGCCUAACACAUGCAAGUCGAGCGGAGUUAACAAGAGGAAGUUUCGGAUGGAAUUUGUAAUUUAGCGGCGGACGGGUGAGUAACGCGUGAGCGACCAACCUUGCACAGGGGGAUAACGGACCGAAAGGUUCACUAAUACCGCAUGAGACCACGGUGUUGCAUGACACAGAGGUCAAAGGAGCAAUCCGGUGCAAGACGGGCUCGCGUCCGAUUAGGUAGUUGGUGGGGUAAUGGCCCACCAAGCCUAUGAUCGGUAGCCGACCUGAGAGGGUGAUCGGCCACAUUGGAACUGAGAUACGGUCCAAACUCCUACGGGAGGCAGCAGUGGGGAAUAUUGGGCAAAUGGGGGAAACCCUGACCCAGCAACGCCGCGUGAAGGAAGAAGGUUUUCGGAUUGUAAACUUCUGUCCUUGGUGAAGAGAAGAAGACGGUAGCCAAGGAGGAAGCCCCGGCUAACUACGUGCCAGCAGCGGC